Artibeus jamaicensis (Jamaican fruit-eating bat) is the source of this 10200-nucleotide long non-coding RNA. RefSeq lists it as uncharacterized. The transcript is spliced from 6 exons. The record is from RefSeq and is a predicted model, not a curated record. Lineage: Eukaryota; Metazoa; Chordata; Mammalia; Chiroptera; Phyllostomidae.
UGGUGCCUGCUUCCUCUUCUAGUUUGUUUAGUCACAGAAUUCGAUUCCUGUUGGCCGAUUACUCGCCUGCAAACAAGCUUAGCGCUCUAUUGAAAUGCGUGAGGCUCCUUAACUCUUGUGUAAACAGAAACCAGCUGUAACUUUAGGGCAGAGCGCAUUAAAUUAAGCCACUUCUGAACAAGCAGCGCCCAGGCCCCAGGCCCUGCUGCGAAGGCCCCCGGCAAAGGUCAGGCUCCGUCCGCGUGACGCUUGUUCCUGCGCUGGUCCGAGCCGUGCUUGGCUUCAGCCCAAAGGGGCCAGACGUCUGUUUCGCACAGAUGUCCUCCGGUGGAGCAGGUGUCACUUCUGGGGUCAUCAUCUGGAUGUCUGAAAUGGGUGUGACUUUUUGAGCUGGGAGAGAAGCCUGUCCGGUGAAGUUCCCAAAUCUCUCCGAUCAAGGCAGAUUUAUUUUUUAACCUUCAGCAAAGGGGAGAGAAUGGAGAGGGUGGACAACACAGGCAUGAAGAGGUUGGACGCAGUUCUAAGCACAGUUGCAACUAGACCAGGAGCGUUGGAGAAUUUCAGCCUCAGUGCAGCCCUGCUGGAGCUUCAUCAAUGGCUGGCAGCAACAGCAAGAUCUGAUGAUAACCUGGAUGUAGGGGGUCUGCUGCACUUCUGCAUGUUACAUGAGUGGAAACUGGAAGCCAGCGUGGAUUCAUUUUGAACUUUGUUGUGAAUCCCGACCUCGGGAUUGAUUUCUCCUGCAAACUCCAUUUUUGAGCUUCUAGAGCAAGCACUGGGGCCAUGAUGGUGAAUGAAGUGCAAGGCCGUCAGAGUUGAAGGAGCGGGAGCUUUAUCUGUUUAUGGGGUCACCACUGUUCUUUCCCUCUGCCAGCAGUUAUUCCAAAAAAAAAAAAAGAUUGAGCCUGUAUUUCCAAGUUUGUAGGAAUAAAAAGGCUAUAGUUUUGUUUUAAGCAAUGGAAAACUUCAGUUUAAAAAAGUAAUGGUUUAAAAAGUCAAAAACCUGUAGGGGCGGGUGGGUGUAGGAGGAGAGGUUAGGGUGGGUAUUGUUUUGCAAUCUCUGGCAUAGAAAUGGUCAACAGCUGUAGCUUUUCAUUCUGGUGUGCCAGCGUGAAUUGCUUUGAGGUGUAAUCAAAUUUAUUAUUGCUUCAUUGAGCCAAAUGGUGUAGUUUUUGCUUUUGCAUUAGAUUGGUCAAUUUCCAAAAGGAUACUGGUGCUUGAAGGUUUCACAUUUAUUCAAAUUCCGUUUUUAAUAUGAAAGAUGCUUUGGUGAGGAGCUGUUAUAAAUGUGUACCUGCAAUAAACUCAUGGAGAAAGGAGGAGGCUUGUGUCUGAAUGCUUGCUGAGUGGCUGCCUGUAACUAAACAUUUGAACUUAAAAGUUAAAAACAAAAUAAUAAUGACUAAUGAUAAUGGCUGACAUUGAGUAAGCACUUACUCUAUGCCAUGCAUGACCUUAUUUCAUCAAUAAAACCACCGUCAAGAAGUAGGUCCUACUACUAUUCUCAUUUGGCAGAUAUGGAAAUAAGGCAUCGACAGGUCAAGCAGCUUGACCAGGGUAAACUGUGGUCAGGAUUCCAGACUAUUGUAAGGCUUCUGAAUGAGGCCUGGGAAAAUCCCUGGACCAGGACCCAGUCUUCUCACCGAGAUCUGCCGCUGGCUCAGCAGACAAGCAACCUUGGACAUGGCACUUCACCUUAGUGUCCUUCAGUUUCCUCGACACCUUCACAUUGGAUGGAAGGGAGUGGAGAUGUAGGACUAGACGUGUUUUGCACAGCCUCGGGUUUUUCUAAUUCUGAGUGUUCUUACUUUCAUGGUUCAAAUCUGUGAAAGAUUGCUCUUCAUAAGAUGUCCAUAGGGAAGAUGAGGGUGCUGGGAGUAAACCAGGGGUAUGGGAUCAGAGGGCAGUCACCGUGGCGUUACGUCACAGGAAGGAAACUGCCAGGUUAAAUGGCUUGUCCAAAUCUUACAAAGUUACUGUAAGUUUGAUUCUUGAUUCCUGAAUCCCAUUCAAGAUAGUGAAUAUAGCUGGCAUAUGGGAUGGUUCUAGUUUGGUGGUCCUCCAUGACGGGGGAUUGUCUUCCAAGGGACAUUUGACAGCAUCUGCAGAUGUUAUUGGUUGUCACGUUCUGGGAGGGGCAGGGUAGGGUGCGACCUGCACGUGUGGGCAGAGGCCAGGGAUCCUGCGGAACAUCCUGCAGCGCACCUGUGACAGCCCUCAUGACAAAGGGUUUUCACCCCACACGUCCUAAGUGCCCACCUGGGAAACCCCCUUCUGGUUGAGCCUUUGCUUUUCACGUGCACUGCAGCCUUACACGACUGGAACAAAGAGUGUUCAAACUUAGUUUUUACACUCAUCUCUUUAUGAAGAUUCAGUCUGAGGAGGAAUUUGGGGAAGGGGGUCAGUGACAAAGUUAAAUUGAACUCUGUUCUUAGGGUUCCGGAAAAAUCCUCAAUUAAUACUUUGUUUUUCCCUUUGCCCCAGAUCCAGUGAUUAAUGUCAAUCACUUCACUCCUUCCUUCUUAGAGUCUCAGAAUUUUUCAUUAGGUCCGACUGAUGUCGCUAAAACAUUUCCAGAAUUUAAGACCUUUUUUAAAAAAGAGGUUCUCAGUAUUUAUAAAUUUCUAGCAGAGUUGGGCUUUGAGAUAGUUUGUUAAUAAAAUCUUUUCAGACCUAAAGAUGACUUCAGUUUAAAGCUAUAGGUGAAGCAGAAUGAAGUUAGUCUAUGCUUUAUCAAAUCUGUAUCUUAAGUUUAUGUAAAAUGAAAAACCUCUGUGCCAUGUUUUAAACUUCGUGGAGAGAGAAGAGCUAUAGUAAAUGAAUACUUGCUGGUAUAUAGACACAUUGUCAGCAGCUUUGGAAAAACAACACAUUUUAAAGGAGGUCUAAAAAUGAACUCCAUGGACUAGGCUGACAUUUUCUUCUAAGGAAACAUUUUGGUCAAUAUUUGAUGUCCCCCUGUAGAUUUGGGGAAGAAAGAUAAAUGUGUUUAGGUUUGCAGUUGUUCCUGGCUGAGGGAAGCUGAGUUUACCUCAUUUCCAUAAGAAAUCGGUUACAACGGAAGAAAACCUUUUGUGUUGUGCCAGAUCAGGUCAUUUAAGGGCACAGAAGCUCUACAAAUGCUCGGGUAGAUUAGGGCAUUUCUUUCUGCCUCUUUCAGGUUUCAUGGGUUUUAGUGUCCCCCCUGACCCUCGGCGGAUACAUUCUAAGACCCCCCAGUGGAUGCCUGAAACCUCGGGUAAUAUCAAACUCAAAAUACAGUGUUUUUUCCCCCUGUAUAUACACACCUUUUUACUGAAAGGGAGCACUUUAUGGCUUUUUCCCCCCAUAUCUAAAUUGCCAGCAUCGCUACUCUUUGGGGGCAUUAUUAAAUAAAAUAAAUGUUGCUCAAAUACAAGCACAGCGAUACCUUGACAUUUGAUCAGUAUGCCAGACAGAAGGGUGAUUCCCGUCCAGGGAGGGACAGAGCAGGACCGAGUGUGAUAUCAUUAUGCUACUUAGAACAGGGCAUAAUUGAAAACUUACUAAUGUUUUUCCCCCCUGGAUUCUCCAUUUAAUGUUUUUGGACUGUGCUUGACUGUGGGUACCUGAAACCUUGGAAAGUGGGACUACGGAUAAGGGUGGACUGCUGUGUUUUGGACAGUAUGAAUUGUGGAAUUUCUAGUUCCUGCAUUGCUCAGUCGGACAGAGGCCCUAGAUUUCGUUAUCUCUUCACACCCACACACCAUGGAUCCACGAUCAGUGAAUUCGCUCAAAUUCUGGGGAACUGACCUCCAUUUUACUGCUUUCCACCUACAGAAGCAACUGGUUCUACAGUUGACUGCCUCUCGUUCAGGUACUUACUUUUCUUCCCUCUAAAGCUACCCUCAGGCUUUAUAGGAAGCUGAUUUAACUGUGUCUGCAUCUCUUCACCCUUCACGCUUUUGACAUUUGAAUCCCACUCCCUCUCAGUCUGUGUCUUUCUGUUCUGACAAGGCAGACCUCAGAUGUGGGAAGCCAACACCCAGUGCUCAAUUAUCUUAUAUAUUUAUAUCAUUUUAUAUUAUUUUAAUAUUAUGUUACUACUUUAUAUUAUUAUAUAUAUCUGUUGUCGCUCAUGAUAUUGGAUAUAUAUAUAUCUCAUCCAUAAUAUCUUUGACUGAUAGAUAAAUUGUCCAAAUUAAUUUAUGGGUUUACCCAAGUCUUGAACAAUGCUUUGAACCAAAACUCUUCUUGAAGAUUCCGUGUGUUUUGUUAGCCUUUUUGGGAGUAAUAAUGCUAUCCAUUUUUUCAUUGAGUGAAUACAGAUUCUGUAUUCUGUAUUCGGCUUUGGAGAUAAAAAAUGGAUAAUAAAUAUUCUGGGUCCUUAAAGGCGCUCACAGGCAAGGUGAGACAUGGCAGCAAAAGAAGAAGAAGAAGGAAAAAGAAAUGCUCUUUUGUGCUUUCUUAAUGGAAAUAUUUAUUUAUUCACCAUGGAUUCACUGAAAACUAUUUAUUUUGUGCCUACAUUUGCCUUCUAAAAGUAAGAAAAGAUAUGUUUUGAGGGAGUUUAUGGCCUAGGACACAUUAAAAAUGAAUGCUAUAAAAGUAUUCUAGGUGCCGCUAGGAAUCAGUAGCAUUGGUUCAGCCUGAGGAGGUGUAGCAGGGGAAGAGGAAGGUGUUUAGGGAACUCUUCGUAGAGACGAGACCUUUAAUAUACUUAACAUUUACAUACCAUGUGUUAGGUGCCUGGUGCUGUUCUGAGCACUUUACAAAGAUUAACUCAUUUAAUCUGCAUAAAAAUACCAUGAGACACACACAGUGAUUCUAAUUUGACAGACCAGAAGACAGAGGUACAGAUGGGUUCAGUAACGUGCCUAAGGUGACAACGAAGCUAGUAAGGGCAGAGCCAGGGUUUGGACCCCUGCAACUUAGCUCCAGCAUAAGAGGUGAUUCUUCAGUGAAUCUUGGAAAAAACUCAGAGCUGCGAAAAACAAGCGGUUGCCAUUUAGUGGGGAAUUCCUGAACCCAGAGAGAGAUGUGGCUGAAGAGGUGGGCAGAAACCAGAUCACAAGGGUCUGAGCUCAUGGGCAAAGCUUGUACUUUAUAUAGAAAGUAUAGAAAAAUGGAAACACGAACAGGAGGAAAAAUCACGUAGGUUCUUACUUCUUAAAGAACUAGCUUCAUUAGCUUUUCCGUACCUUUCUUUUAAGCUCUUUUGAGUGCAUUUGCAUUUUUUCCACCUGGUUUUCCUCAGACCAUACUGCAGUGCUGUGCUGCUGUCUCUUGCCUCGCUUCACCCUCACGGCAUUCCUGUGACUUUCACGGGCCCAUUUCAUGGAGGUGGACACGAGGAAACUGCCUGGUUCUCAUGGAGCCCACAGGGUUAGCCCAGGUGUUCUAAAUGGAAGCUCUGGUCUCCCGUUCCUCACCUGCCUCCCCAGCAAAGGUGGAUAAAAAAGAGAGACAUGGAAAUGUAUUCAAAUGUCACAUGUUUUGUGUCAUCUUGUUUUUCCAAAUGAGUGAUGGCAGUGGGACUAGCAGGCUGACUCUGAGGAAUGUGCAGGUAGGACACUCGGCUUCCCUCCGUGGCGCCCCGUUUGUGGGGUUUCUGCUGCUCAUAUUUACUUCGUACCACGUGCUCUCCCAGGGCGCAGCUUCCGUGCCAGGACCUACGAACCGCGCCUGCGUUACUGACAGUGGCUCUGCCAGGACAGUGGCUAUCAGAGCAGAGACGGUUACUGCUCCAACAGUAUCUAAACGCAGGGUUUGCAUGUUUGCCCGGCACAAACAAGCCUCGCUGACAGGAAAGAAAAAGAAUUCUUGGUCUAAGCUUGUUUCAGUCUCAGGGACAAAAGAAAGGGCUUUGUAUGCUUUGUGCACCGUCUUAAUACUCAACAGAGGUAGCCCUCCCUCCCCGCCUCCCCCCGCCCCACACCAGGGCAUAUGAGACCUCUGCUGUGGAGUUGGUACUUCAGAACCUUCACACUGAAGGAAGUAAAUUACACUCCAAGUCUUCUGUUCAAAUGGCAAUGACGAACUUUGACUAGAGCCAUGAAUGGGCCCUGGGCAUUCCCCUAAGUUCUGGAGAGGUGUGGAUAGAUAGAUGGACAGGACGUGCUCCUGCCCUCAAGUGGCUCUCACUGUAGUGGGGACAGCUGACUCGUGUCCACAGACGUGAUCUCCACAGGGAGCCCAAAGGAGGGGCAGUCAGGUAGCUGGAUUUUGUUGUUGUUGUUUGGAGGGUAGAUAAUUCACAUACCAUACAUUCCAUCCUUUAAAGUGUAAAAAAAAGUGUAAAACACUUGGUGUUUUUUCGUAUAUUCACUAGGUUGUGAAACCAUCACCACGGCCCAAUUCCAGAACAUUUUCAUCACCACAGAAAGAAACCCAUGACUGUUGAGCACUUCCCAUUCCCCUUUCCCCUCCCCGCUGCCGGCCACUAGUCUACUUUCUAGAUUAGUACUUCAGUCUCCAUGUAUUUGCUUGUUCUGGACAUCCAUGUAAACAGUGAUCCACCAUGUGAUCAUUCAUGUAUGGCUUGUUUUAUGUAGCGUGUGUUUUCAAGGUUCAUGUUGUAGCAUGUGUGUCAGCACUUUAUUCCUUUUUAUGGCUGAAUAAUAUUCCAUUGUAUAGAUGUGCCACAUUUUGUUUAUACAUUCAGUUGACGGGCAUGUGGUUUCACCUGGAUUUUGAAUAAAUAGAAGGUUUUGCCAGUCACGGAAGGGAGGGUGCAUUGUAGGGCAGGCGAAACCCAUCGGUUUAAUGCCUGCAUGUGGCGUGUAGCACAGUCCUUACUGAGAGCCGGGCACAUUGCGAGCCCUUUACAAACACUACCGUUCCGAGUUCUCAUUACAACCCUGUGAGGUGGUGUAUGAGGCCCAAAGAGGCAAAGCGGUUUCCCCAGGUCACCAGCCAGUAAGUGGAGAGCUUGGGGGCCAGACCCAAACAGUCGGGUUCUGGGACUUCCCUCUCGUCUGCCCGGCUCUGCCGCAGAGGCAGGGUCAUGGGGCACGGCAACCCGGGCUGGGCUGUGGGACUGCCUACAUGGUGUAAAAGGGCAAGGUAGCAGGUGGAGGAGAAAGUGAGCUGUGAGGCCAGAGACCGGUAUCCUCUGUUCAGCAGUUAUCUUUGUAAAAGACACAUCUGACCAUGUCAUUUCCUACUGAAAAACUGCCCCUAGUUCUCCAUCUUUCCACUUAAUUUCUCAAAACCAACCACUUUCUGCUACUUUUACAAUUUUCCCCAUACCUGUAUUUCACCUACAUCGUUGUUUAAGGAAUACUUUUCUUUAUAUCGGCUCACUUUGGUUUUGCUUAAGUACACUUAUUUAAAGUGGAACUUUAUCUCACUAACUCACAUGGAAAGUAUUUUUCUAAUGUGCAUUUAAAUAAAACACACCACUAAAGUGAACUGCCUUUACUCACCACCACCUGGAAGCAGCUUGCACGCCAGCGAGGUGUGCCUCCUGCCUAGCACUAGGGAAUCGGGGCUUGCCGGGUGAGGUUCACACACAAAGUCGAGGUCCCACACUUGGUAUCUCAUGUGACUGUCACGUCCAGUGUGCUUCCCUCCCGCCUGGACUCACGCGUUUUCAUUGUAGUAUAUUGUUCCUUGGGUGGUUCUACCUCCUCUUGUCUCUGUGCUUAGAACCAGCUCAAAUCGCGACUCCUGAAGUCUUCUCAUGUCCUGUGGGUUCCUCCAGGACGUGGCUCUGAGAUGUCUUCUCAGAUGUUGCCUUGUUUACCCUGCACCCGUCUCCAGCUGUGAGGCACCUCAAGACAGGGAACCCUAUUUGUUGAAUGAACGAACGAUUGGUUAGAAGCAAAAGGUAAAGACCUUUCAUAUGGUCUUGAAUGCAGCAUUCCCAAAUCAUAGAAUGAUUUUAAGCAAACAACAUUAUCCAUGCUGUCUUUAACACAGUUAAGUGUGGUCAGUUGUGUGGAAGUCAAAAAAGGAGUGAGAUCCUGGAGGCAGGGAGACAGAUGUGAAAUAAGUGCUCAUUAAAUUGUCUGGAGCCAAAAAAAAAAAGGUUCCACUAAAAGGGAAGAUAUACACAACUUUCGAGGCAGCGACUCAAAUCCCAAGUAUGUACCCAACUGAAAUAUGUACAUAUGUUCACCAAAAGGCAAGUUUAAUAAUGCUUUUUGCAGCAUCACUGGAAAUACUACCAAACGGGAAGAGGCAUUUAUCAGUAGUAGAAUGAACUGAAACAAACCAACCUGUGGUAUAUCCCUCCAGUGGGAUACUACUGUCUAUAUGAUGGGAACAAACAAAUAUUACUGCAAGUAAAAAUGUGCUCAGAGUUCUGAAACAGAGUCUUCAGUGGAAGAAGCCAGACUCCAUGGAGCAUCUGUUGUAAGAUCCCCACUUGCAUGGCGUUCAGAACCAGACAAGUGCGUCUGCAGUGUGAGGAGUCAGGAGAGCUGUCCGCCUUGGGCAGGUGGUGAGGAGGGGACCAUGAGGGGGACUUCUGGGGUACCGGUCGGAUACGUAUUCAGAUUGUGAAAAUUGAGUGAGAGAUACUAUCUUAACUUGUGUGUUUCAGUACAGUGCUAUACUUCACUGUAAAGUUUACAUUUAAAAAAUUAGGAAGAAAUAAAACGGAUUAGCAACAUUUUUUUUCAAAUUAAGAAGCCUUUUCCAGAGCGGAAUAAAUAAUAGACUUAGUGAAAAAUGCACAGAGAAACUAAUGAUAAAUCUCAGAUCCUGAGAUGCUUUUCUCAGUUUUCAUUUGGCCUAAUUGUCUUGGGAUAUUUAUCUGCCAUGUUUUAGUUGUGAACGUAAUAGCUACUAACAAUUGCAUUUUGUUUUACAACAUUUAAACUACAUAGGGUCAUUACUCUGUUUCAUCUUUAGAACAUCUCUGUAAGGGUUCAUUAAUACAUCCAUUUUCCAGACGAGGAAACUGAGGCCCAAAGAGAUUUCUUAAAUUGCCCUAAGUCACAGGGCAAGUGACUGAACUGAAACCAUUUUCUCUAAGUCCUGUCCCAUUGCUGGGCCACCCAGGAGGUUGGCAGUUGUACUCGGACUAUAAGUCUCCACAGACAGAGAGGAGCAGGAGGCUAGCGAUAAAUAUGGAAAGAGUGGUGAACCAUCCACAUGAUAAAUCCAUAAUGGAAGUUUUGUAACGAAUUCUGUCAAGCCAGUAAACAAAGCUUUUUGGCAUGUAAAUUAAAUUUGUUGUUUUUCUGGCUGCUUUUCUGCUUAAAUAAUUAGGGGUAUUCAGUACAAAUUAAGUGACCCCUAGUUAACCCACAGAGAGUGCUGUGAUCUUGGUUGAGUUUAAUUGAAAACCAUUUUGGCCGCUUUCAGUUAGCGCUCCGCCGACACAGACUUUCCAGGAAUGGUCAUGGACUCAUCUACAUGUUUUCAGUUGGACCGGGCCACGGGGACUUUCUGGUUCGACAUUCCAUCUAGUGCAGAAAUGUCUCUGCAGCAUUGUGAUAAUCGUGAUCUGAUAAACAUGUGCACUGUUUCCCUUGUAAACUAUCCUCGUUUUACAGAUGAGCACGUAGCCUUAGAGAGGUUAAGCAGUCUGCCCUAGAACACUCAGGUAGUGACAGCAAAGCAGAUCCUGACGCAGGCCUUUCUGAGCCCACGGGAGGGGGUUGCACGGCUGUGCUACUUCGCUGCUUCCACCUUGGCCUUAGAUUCCCGCAGUGACGGACGGGCGCAUUAUUUCGCUGAGACACUUCGGGCCGGGAGUGGAAAGCCCUACGGGGAGGCUGUUCCGUACACUGAGCAGGAACCUUCUGUCUCACGACUUUCAUCUGCGAGGCCUCGUUUUGUUCGGAAGAGUAAUACCACUUCAGAGCCCUCCUUUGUGGCAAAAGGCACCCCUCUAGAAAUGUACUUAAUUUAUUUUCAAAGAAAUAACAUUUUUAAAGGUUUAUUUAUUUACAUAUAGACAGAGGGGAAGAGAGAGAGAAAGAGAGGGAGAGAAACAUCCAUGUGUAGUUGCCUUCUACACAUCCCUACUGGGGAUCUAGCCUGCAACCCAGACAUGUGCCCUGACUGGGAAUUGAACCAGUGACCCUGUGGUUGGAAGGCCAGCACUUGAUCCACUGAGCCACACCAGCCAGGGCCCCCUCUAGAAGUUUAAAGUGAGGGAUUACGUUGGUAGGUUCUAAAAUGAUGCAUAUGUGCCAGUGAUUCUAAGUGUACAGUAAAUUACCCCAUAUCUUAGUAAGUCAAACACCCACCAGUGAGUACCUAUCAUGAUUUGGGCAUGUCUCAUGA